UACGAAGGGUGCAAGCGUUACUCGGAAUUACUGGGCGUAAAGCGCACGUAGGCGGUUCGUUAAGUCAUGUGUGAAAUCCCUCGGCUCAACCGAGGAAUUGCGCCUGAUACUGGCGGGCUAGAGAUCGAUAGGGGUGAGUGGAACUCCAGGUGGAGCGGUGAAAUGCGUAGAUAUCUGGAGGAACACCGGUGGCGAAAGCGGCUCACUGGAUCGAUACUGACGCUGAGGUGCGAAAGCUAGGGUAGCAAACGGG
Molecule: ribosomal RNA, 253 nt
Filed under: uncultured bacterium
Lineage: Bacteria
Description: partial 16S ribosomal RNA
Rfam family: Bacterial small subunit ribosomal RNA
Source: RNAcentral